CCUACGGGAGGCAGCAGUGAGGAAUAUUGGUCAAUGGCCGGAAGGCUGAACCAGCCAAGCCGCGUGAAGGACGAAGGUGCCAAGCAUUGUAAACUUCUUUUGUCAAGGAACAAAAUCAGGCUCGAGAGCCUGACCGAGGGUACUUGAAGAAAAAGCAUCGGCUAACUCCGUGCCAGCAGCCGCGGUAAUACGGAGGAUGCGAGCGUUAUCCGGAUUUAUUGGGUUUAAAGGGUGCGUAGGCGGGCUGUUAAGUCAGCGGUAAAAGCCCGGGGCUCAACCCCGGCGAGUCGUUGAAACUGGUGGUCUUGAGAUGUCGAGAGGUAGGAGGAAGGGGCAGUGUAGAGGUGAAAUGAUGAGA
RNAcentral lists this ribosomal RNA (358 nucleotides) under uncultured bacterium. Its description in RNAcentral is "partial 16S ribosomal RNA". It matches the Rfam family "Bacterial small subunit ribosomal RNA", at positions 338 to 696 of the family's 1533-position model. The record is from RNAcentral.